This 1202-nucleotide long non-coding RNA is filed under the name Salvia miltiorrhiza (redroot sage). RNAcentral's name for it is "long non-coding RNA (SMIL_LNC004837)". Lineage: Eukaryota; Viridiplantae; Streptophyta; Magnoliopsida; Lamiales; Lamiaceae. The record is from RNAcentral.
UAUAAUUGGUGUUUCUUCUAUUUACUGAACGGACCAUCCGAAAUUAACGCUGGUAAUUAAUCAUUUACCACUCCAAGAAACACGUCUCAACAGAGCACACGAUGUUGACUCUCCAUCUACAGCAGCGGCGACUGGAUUUCGACGAUGAUUGCUUCAGUGUUUCGACGUUGAAUAUCAUAUACGCCUACGGCAUCGCCGCCCUUCUCCUUCUCUCAUCCGCUUGUUUCCUCGAAAAUCAGAUUUUCGUGACUAUUCGGUCAUCUUCUAUUCGAUCUAUCGGUUAACUCUCCUCGAUGAAGCUCUUUCUCUAGCUCUGAUUUGAUUGGACUUUAUCUGGUAAGUUUUAUGAUUUAAUUUGGUCCAUAUUGAGGGUUUAAGAUUUAAAGACCCACCUUUUCUAUUGAAACUUGGAUCUUGAUUUUGUGAAUUCUGGAUUAGAACAUUUAGAAUUUGCGUGUUGGGAUGUUUUAAUUUUUAUUGAUUGACUGAAUUUACAUUUUGUAUUGUCUAUCAAUCCAUCAUUGGGGUCUCACGUGUUAAACUCAGAAUAUAAAAUUAUCAAGCUAUGUGAUUGUUGGGGUUUUGUUUUGUCCUACCAUUCCAAUCAUCUACGACGAUAUUCUAAAAUAUCAUCCAAUAUUUUGUGCCUUACCUCUUUGCAUUCGAGAUUUUCACUAGCACUUCAUCUGCAAGCUAUUUGAGGUAUAAACUACACAUUUGCACAGCUGAUCAAUUCUUGAUUUGGCCAUUUGAUUGAAUUCGUAGUAUAUGUUGUGAUUGCUAUGUUUGAAGAAGAUGAUAAUUCUUGUUGUAUUUUAGUGGCAUUGCUAAGUUGAAGUUGAAUUAUGUAUUUUCUAAUUUGUGAUUUAUUGAUUAGGCUGCAUUUGGUGUAUGGAAGAGUCUGAUUCCGUGAGCAAGACAAGAUGAUUGGUUUAGUGAAAGUUGUCAAGGUGGGAUGGGUGCUCGUCCGAGAAAGUGAUAUGCAAACAAGAUUUGUGGCUUCAAAAUCACUUGAACAACUAUUCAUAGUGUUGAAGUAGAUAUUCGAUUACUUUGUUCACUUAUUCAUAAUAUGUUCAUUCAUAAAAAUCUGUAAUAUAUUUAUUUAAUUUAACUUAUUGUUUGGAACUUAUUGUGUGAUAUUCAUUACUGAAUAAUAGUUAUUUAGAACUUAUUCAUAACUGAAUAGUAGUUAUUCGAAA